This 359-nucleotide unclassified non-coding RNA is filed under the name Hevea brasiliensis (rubber tree). The record is from RNAcentral. Lineage: Eukaryota; Viridiplantae; Streptophyta; Magnoliopsida; Malpighiales; Euphorbiaceae.
GUCCAACCAAUAGUAGUCCCUCAUGUGAAAAGAAAGUGCACUGAGACGGUUGUUGAUGGCAGAAACAAGACUUUUUGUGGAGUCGUUGAUGCUGAGCAUCUCACGGGAGCUUCGUAAAGCUGAAUAAAAUAGGGCUUGGAUCUCAAGUGGAUGCCCAUGAAUGCCCAUCCGCCUAUCAAUCAUGCAUGACCCAUCAGUGACCAAGAGAGUAGGAAACAAGUCAAAACCAUCACUUAAGCACAGGUUAAGUAUCAGGCAAAUGCCUGUCUGCACAUCCACCCUCUCUUGCAAAUUAUAGUCCCCUGUAAUCCUUCCAUAAGCUCUCAAUAAGAUAACCCACCACAACCCAGAAUCAACAG